GGAGGCUCCAGCUCUGGUAUCCUGACAGCCAGACAUUUCCCUGCAGCUGAUUGGCCGAUGGUUCCAGCUGACAUGCUGCUGCAGCUUUGGAUCCAUCAUGGCCUCCUGCAGCAGCUCCAGAUACCAGAACAACGUGUGAAGUGUUUCAAAGGGAAGCUGCAGCCGUCCGACGGCUGAAUUUAAUCCUGGAAUCUUGUGGAUAAGCUUAGACUGCUGGAGGAAGCACCUGCUGGCCGGUUCCAGCGUAAACACCGAGGAGUAGAGGAUGUCAUCCGGAGACAAUAAUCAGGGGUUUCCCAUCCAGCACCGUGUUUACAGGAACAGCUGCAGAACCAGGGUGAAUGCGGAGUUUCUCAGUGAGACGGAGGACAGGAGCUGUUCCCACACAGACAGGAAGUCCAACUGGAGGACCAGAACGAGUAAAGUGCUGAGCUCAUGUGAGCUCAUUUAGAAGGAAAUACAUCUUCAGCAGCAGGGGCCACUUAUGGACCUUCUGCAGCAGGAAGCAGCGUCUGGAGACCACAGAGCUGCAGCAUCCGCUGGGUCCAGGAGGAAACAAGCAGCUGGAAGCCCACCAAAGACACACAACAGCACGGGAUGAAGGGACCAGAACCCAGAGGUCCUGGAGGUCAGAGGUCAGAUCUUCUUCGAACCUGUGGAUUAAACAUCGUGUUCUCCUGAGGGUUCCUCAGUUCCAGAGGUUCUGUGUUCCGGUGUCUGGGUCCCUCUGCUGGACGGAGGGUGAAGUUCUGCUGGUGGAUCCUGCGUGAUGGUUGGCUGAGCUGGUCGAUGCUGCAGCGAUAAAUGGCGGUUUGCUGCCGACCACCAGAGGAACUGUGUCAUGGAAACUACACUGUAUGAGAACACACAACUACACACAACCUCACACCGCCCAGCCGCUGCACGGCAACACACCCAGUACUGCACAGAAUCAGACAAAUAAAACCAGAUUACAGCUGUAAAAUAAUCCAACAGGUAAAGGGAUAAACUGUCAGCGAACAGGAGGAUAAGUUUUAGAUAUGAACAGAGAUCUGGUGUUGGAGCUGACAGGUGGUGUUU
Molecule: long non-coding RNA, 1059 nt
Organism: Amphiprion ocellaris (clown anemonefish)
Lineage: Eukaryota; Metazoa; Chordata; Actinopteri; Pomacentridae
Source: Ensembl